Molecule: long non-coding RNA, 844 nt
Filed under: Lupinus angustifolius (narrow-leaved blue lupine)
Lineage: Eukaryota; Viridiplantae; Streptophyta; Magnoliopsida; Fabales; Fabaceae
Description: long non-coding RNA (LANG_LNC002941)
Source: RNAcentral
GAAAGUAAAAAAGGGAGUUACCCCUCUCUUCCCUAUCAAAAAUGCCAAACAAGGAUUCCAAUCCCUAAAACAAGUUCCUUUGUUCACCUUCAUCAAUGGUGGCGGCGGUUUUGUUCUGGCAAGAGACGGCUAACUCAUAUCGACUACUUCAUCUCCUUCUCCUUUUUCAUUCCUUCAUGUUCGUACUUUCUCCAUAACCUCCCAUGGCGAAUGAGAUCGGUGAUUGGUAUCAUUUAAUCCGCGACGGUAGUGGAACGGGAUCGACGAUGGUGGGACGCUGCACCGUCUGCACUUCCCGUAUUCCUCUCCUUCUCCGGCGGCCCAGAACCACAUAUACGACUAAAGAGAAAGAACCUAUGGUAUGAUUUCGAUGGAGAAGGAAGAGAGAUUUCGGUCACCACCCAAAUGGAAUAUUAUGACCUGACGUCGUGACAUAUCCUGCCGCACUAGAAUAGGUUGACUUUCGGCGAUGAGAGGCACCGCCAGUUUGGAUGAUGAUGAAACACAGGGUUACUGCCGAUAGCAGUAAUAUGUAUUAUCCUAGAGGCUAAUUUGUUGUUAGAUUCCUGAAUAAUGGUAGAACUUGUUGAUUCUUCUUGAACCUUAUGCUAAACAGAAGACUAGCAAAGGUGGAUCAUUUGUGUUUUCAUGGGUAGACUACUAAACAGUGUUGUCACUUGUAAACAUUGGUUGAUUAUGUCUCUCUAAUGAAAAGUUGCGGUAUUUUACUACUUUUGUUCUGUGUUUAUUUCAAUCAAAUGUAAGAAACUAGAAUAACAUGUUGAGAAAAAAAUUCAAGGUUCUGUAGUGUUCUGUUCUAGGUUCAUGUUAUAUGUAUAAAAAU